GAGGAUAACUCGAUUCUUCCACUCCCAGGGAGUUUGGAGGCUUCUGGAGUCAAGUCUGUCUGGGGUGAAGACUCCCAAGAAAGGAGAUGUAAAGAGUACGGUUAGGGUACCGGUAAAAAGGGUUGAUCCUUUCUGGACUAACAACAGCGAAGGCACUUUACAAGAACGGAUCUGACAGUCAGGGAUGAAGGCUAGGGGCGCAAAACGGAUUAGAUACCCGUGUAGUCCUAGCAGUAAACACUGCACACUAAACAUUGGGACCUCUUCGAGAGGUUUCAGUGCUGUAGGGAAGCCGUAGAGUGUGCUACCUGGGAAGUAUAGUCGCAAGGCCGAAACUUAAAGGAAUUGGCGGAGAGACACUACAACAGGUGACGCGUGCGGUUCAAUUAGAUUAUACACCGUGAACCUUACCAGGACCGACAGCAGAAUGAAGGUCAGUCUAAAGGGCUUACCUGACACGCUGAGAGGAGAUGCAUGGCCGACGUCAGCCUGUGUCGUGAGAUGACCUGUUAAAUCAGGUAACAGGCGAGACCCGUAUGUAUAUUUACUACGUGUACAAUAUACAGACUGCCUUGGUAACAAGGAGGAAGGUGCGGGCUACGUUAGGUGAGUACGUCCCGAAUGUCCUGGGCUACACGCGCGCGGCAAUGCUGCAUUCAGAGGGUUGCGACACCGAAAGGUGAAGCUAAUCUCAUAAACUGCAGCCUAGUUCAGAUCGAGGGUUGCAACUCACCCUCGUGACGCUGGAAUUCGUAGUAAUCGUGUGUUAUCAGCAGACGGUGAAUAUGUCAAUGCUCCUUGCACUCACCGCCCGUCAAACCAACCGAGUUUAGCUUUGGUGAGGCCCGUCAGGGACGAGCCUUGGUUAGACAAGGUAGGUUAAGUCGUCACAAGGUAUCCGUAGGGGAACCUGCGGAUG
RNAcentral lists this ribosomal RNA (919 nucleotides) under marine metagenome. Its description in RNAcentral is "bacterial SSU rRNA". It matches the Rfam family "Archaeal small subunit ribosomal RNA", at positions 521 to 1467 of the family's 1478-position model. The record is from RNAcentral.